Sphaeramia orbicularis (orbiculate cardinalfish) is the source of this 214-nucleotide long non-coding RNA. RefSeq lists it as uncharacterized. The transcript is spliced from 3 exons. The record is from RefSeq and is a predicted model, not a curated record. NCBI's taxonomy places the organism in Eukaryota, Metazoa, Chordata, Actinopteri, Kurtiformes, Apogonidae.
AGAACUUAUUCUAAAUUAAAGCUCCAGGGGCCUCAUGCACAAAGGUUGCGUACGCACAAAAACGCGGCGUACGCCCUUUUCCAUGCUCAUGUUCAGAUGUACAGAGUGACAUGACUGUGGAAAUGUGCGGUGCUCCCCGCCAACUUCAUAGCUGGUGUACGCACAUUUCUAGCGCUUUGGAACCAUUGGCGACACUUAGAGAUGACACUGGGAA